AGAGAAGCUUGCUUCUCUUGAGAGCGGCGGACGGGUGAGUAAUGCCUAGGAAUCUGCCUGGUAGUGGGGGAUAACGUUCGGAAACGGACGCUAAUACCGCAUACGUCCUACGGGAGAAAGCAGGGGACCUUCGGGCCUUGCGCUAUCAGAUGAGCCUAGGUCGGAUUAGCUAGUUGGUGAGGUAAUGGCUCACCAAGGCUACGAUCCGUAACUGGUCUGAGAGGAUGAUCAGUCACACUGGAACUGAGACACGGUCCAGACUCCUACGGGAGGCAGCAGUGGGGAAUAUUGGACAAUGGGCGAAAGCCUGAUCCAGCCAUGCCGCGUGUGUGAAGAAGGUCUUCGGAUUGUAAAGCACUUUAAGUUGGGAGGAAGGGCAGUUACCUAAUACGUGAUUGUUUUGACGUUACCGACAGAAUAAGCACCGGCUAACUCUGUGCCAGCAGCCGCGGUAAUACAGAGGGUGCAAGCGUUAAUCGGAAUUACUGGGCGUAAAGCGCGCGUAGGUGG
RNAcentral lists this ribosomal RNA (510 nucleotides) under Pseudomonas sp. RNAcentral describes it as "bacterial SSU rRNA". It matches the Rfam family "Bacterial small subunit ribosomal RNA", at positions 72 to 578 of the family's 1533-position model. The record is from RNAcentral. Lineage: Bacteria; Pseudomonadati; Pseudomonadota; Gammaproteobacteria; Pseudomonadales; Pseudomonadaceae.